GCGCCCGUAGCUCAGUUGGAUAGAGCGCUGCCCUCCGAAGGCAGAGGCCAGAGGUUCGACUCCUCUCGGGCGCACCA
RNAcentral lists this transfer RNA (77 nucleotides) under candidate division WWE3 bacterium RIFCSPLOWO2_02_FULL_53_10. Its description in RNAcentral is "tRNA-Arg". It matches the Rfam family "tRNA". From Rfam's summary of the family: Transfer RNA (tRNA) molecules are approximately 80 nucleotides in length. The record is from RNAcentral. Lineage: Bacteria; candidate division WWE3.